RNAcentral lists this ribosomal RNA (187 nucleotides) under uncultured bacterium. Its description in RNAcentral is "partial 16S ribosomal RNA". It matches the Rfam family "Bacterial small subunit ribosomal RNA", at positions 335 to 526 of the family's 1533-position model. The record is from RNAcentral.
AUUCCUACGGGAGGCAGCAGUGGGGAAUUUUGGACAAUGGGGGAAACCCUGAUCCAGCAACGCUGCGUGAAGGACGAAGGUCUUCGGAUUGUAAACUUCUUUUGUUCGGGACGAAAGCCCGCAAGGGUUUGACGGUACCGGAUGAAUAAGCCACGGCUAACUACGUGCCAGCAGCCGCGGUAAUAAU